GCCAUGGUCGGUAGGCUCCAAAACAAACAGCGCCGUCGAAGGCCCUGGCAGAGGAAAGGUGCUCACCCCACAGCAGCAGGAGGCAGAGAAGGGAGAGCUGUGCACAAGAACACGCCCUUCCAGGUCACGCCCCUCUUGGCCACCUGGGCCCAGGCCCCACCUCCUGACAGCACAUUCAGUUGCUGAACUCCUCAAAUGGAUGAAUCCACGGACAAGCAUAACACCAACCCGACCUUCCAAAUACAGGAGAGUCACGGUGCACACUUCUAAGCCGUAACACACUGGAACCUCUGAAAUCAGGAGCCAAACUAAACCUGUCCUCUUGGUCCUGCAGGGAGGAGGUCAGAGGCAGAGACUUCUCCAACCCCUCUGAGCCACAGCUAACCACCUCCACGGAACCAUUUCUAUGUCUGCUGGAUGGAUGGAUGCACGCAUGCAGGGGGAAGCUCUGCUCUGCUCUGCUCUGCUCCUGCUCCUGCUCCUGCACCUGCUCCUGCUCCUGCUCCUGCUCCUGCUCCUGCUCCUGCUCCUGUUCCUGUUCCUGCUCCUGCUCCUGUUCCUGCUCCUGCUCCUGCUCGGCUCUGCUCUGCUCUGCUCUCUUGGGGAAAAGCCAAGAGAGGCAGUAGUUGAACUCAAUCCAGGACCUGAAAGCAUUCUGCAAGGGGAGUUGUCUUUGUUCUCCUGCAAGGUUUCCAGUGGAGAUAAAUGCGUUCCACAUGGCCCAGGAGGAGAAGGCUUCUUUCCACUUGCUUUUGAUCCUUCGACACUGCAGCGUGUAAACACUUAUCAUUCCAGAGUCUUCCAGAACCACAGGUCCUUCCCUGACCUCCCACCCUACCGGAGUGGCAUGACCGUGUCCCACACCACCCUGUAGCCGCCACCACCCAAGUGGAGAGCCAUGGUCAUGAGCCCCAUGGAACUGUCCUUGCCAGAAAGGACCCAAAGCAUAGGUUGCCCGGUGGCCUUUGCCUGUGGCCAGGCAGGCUUCAUGCCUAAACGCAGUCUUCCCUGUGGGCCCAGUUUCACUGUUCCUCCUUGACAGGCCAACUACCAGAUGAAGUCAGAUGAAAAAGGGGACGCGCCCUCACGGCCCCUGCUGGAGACUUCAGCUGUCACAGUCUCUCUGCAGGAAAACUGUACGUGAGUAAAUAAACGCAAAAGGAAACACUCUCACGACCAGGAAUCUACCCCUAGGAAGUAAGUGAAAUGAUUUACACAUAAGAUGCUUCCUACAUCAUUUUAAAAAGUUUUUAAGGGGCCGGGGAUUUAGCUCAGUGGUUUCGCCACCUACUGCACAAGCACAAGGACCCAAGUUCGACCCCCAGUACCAAAAAAAAUAAAGUUUUUAAAAAGGCAAGGCGGGGAACAACCUAAGUAAUUAAGGAUAGGGGAGUAAAUGGCUUCCUGCACUUUGACAACUGUGACAUAAGCCUACCAAAACUCAUAUUGGAGUAUAUGCCCUAAUAAAAAAUGAUAAAUAUUUAUUUUUAUAAAUUGCACCUGGGUACUAUUGAGCCAAAAUAUUAUGUGCAUGAUCAAAUACACAUUAUGGUCACUGUAAACAGUGUUUUAAAUUUAUUUUAUUCAUUUAUACUACAAAAAUAUUUUGGUAUAGAGAAAUGCAAUUUUUGAUAUGUUCUAUUAUUUGUGUAACUUUUAGGUCAACACUUUAUGAUACAAUUGAAGAUUCAGUGUAUUUUUAUACUAGGUUUUGAUAGUUACCAUAAUUGAAAACAUUCUUUUAUGAUGACACAGAUAAAAUAGUAUAAAAGCAAUAAUUGACCAUAU
Long non-coding RNA from Heterocephalus glaber (naked mole-rat), 1788 nucleotides. The record is from Ensembl. NCBI's taxonomy places the organism in Eukaryota, Metazoa, Chordata, Mammalia, Rodentia, Bathyergidae.